This 321-nucleotide long non-coding RNA is filed under the name Lathyrus oleraceus (garden pea). RNAcentral describes it as "Pisum sativum (pea) long non-coding RNA (PSAT_LNC025242)". The record is from RNAcentral. Lineage: Eukaryota; Viridiplantae; Streptophyta; Magnoliopsida; Fabales; Fabaceae.
ACUAAUACCCACAGGCCAAAGUUAAUGACCAAUUGCAAAGAAAACUAAACGGUCAUUUAAAUGGAUUUUAAUUGUCUGCCUUUUUUAAAAAAAAAGAUAAAGGAAAAGGAAGUGAGAGAAAAGACACCAGACUCAAACAAUUGUUCGUCUUCCUCACAAAGACAAAUCUCCUUUCUUUCAAUCUCUCAACCUCUCUCGCCCUCAACUUCAUUCAAUCUCUCAAUCUCGACCUCAUUUAAUUUUUUCAAACUCCUCACAACUAAUCUAACCAUUUUACAAAGACCACCAACUGAUUUUCCUCCUCCUAACAGAACCUUCAAC